CUCCUUAUUUUGCAAAGAAACGGAGGUCUGGAGGAACAAAGAAACCUAGAGAAAGAUAGAGCUUUGAGAGAAAACUGUGAGAGGGAGAGAUAAAAGCCGUCAAACCGAAAACGGUGGAGGGAGAGGGAAGAUUUUGGCAUGGGCUUACCGAAAAUCUGUGGGUUCGUCAGGGUUGGGCUGGUCGGCACUUUCUGGCACCGUGGGUGGUGCUCUGACGUCCUGGUGGUCGUCGACGGUGGCUGGGCAAAAUACGAGGCCUAUGCGAGGUUUCUAUUGAGUCCUACUACAGUGUGAAAGAGUCAUAGCUGUGACAUCUUGUGUGACCUUGGCAGCAGGAUUGGCUGCAAGACAGCCAUUCCCAUGGUUGCAUUCCAAAUUUGUUUACAGGUCUGGUUAACAUCAUCACUUCUUGCUGAUGGUUUGGCUGUUUCUGGACAGGCAAUCCUAGCUUAUGCUUUUACUGAGAAGGACCAUAAAAAGGCAAUUACAACUGCUAUCCUGGCAGCAUAGGUAAUUACAAUUGCGUCUUCUUAUUAUUCUUCCUCUGAUGACAGGGUAUAUUAAUACUGCAAAACUAUACCUCCCUUUUUUAAAUGAAUGGCAUUUCAAAUAUGGACUUGUUCGGCAUAUAUGGAUCAUUGGAAUGAUAUAUGCAUAUUAGCACCCCGAUGUAAUCUCUUGAAUGUUUGAUCAUAUGUUAGGUUUUGCUUUCUUGAUCAUGUGUUGUAUCAUGAGAGACAUAAAAAGAUAGGUGCCCACUGUUCCAACUUUAGUCGAUGCUUAAAUUAAACUUCUACAUCUUUGCUUUUUUAUUUCAUAGAAGCUGCCAAAUCCUGAAGUUUUUGGCUUGUGUGUUAAGAUAUUGUUGCCACCACAGUUUCCUUGGCUUAAUUCUCAUGCUUACGUUGCGGCUGUUAUAUUGCCUUCCAAUUUGUAUAUUCAGAUUCUAUGUUUUUUAGAAGAAAAUGCAUCUCAUUAGAAGACAAUGCUCUACGACAAAGAGUUCAACAUAAGUACAUAAUAUUCUCUAGGACAAGUUCAGUUAUUUGUAACAAUUAGCAACUGCAUAAUGCUUAUAUAAUACCUUUAUAACGUUAGUUUUCCACUUUUCCCAUUCAAGUUCAGUUAUUUCCCAUUGAAGUUUUGUUUUUACUUUUCAGUUUUUUUGAUGGUGAGAAUUUCAUGAUCCAUUUUAUGACAUUUUAUUUGGUUAUGUAGGUACAAAGUGCUGUCUAUGGCAAAGGCACAAUAGGAGUUUUUUUUUUUUUUUUGAUAAGUAUUAAGAUAUUUUAUUGAUGAAAGGAUAGACAUAGUCCAGGUACACUGGAAGUAUACAUGUGAAUACACCUAUUUAGGAACUAGUAACUGAUUCAAGGAAAUCAUGGAAGCUGAGACUAUUCAACUCUAAAGCUAUGGCCCACAUAAAUAAAGUCUUCCAAAAAAACCUCCUAAACUCUUCUAGAGAGCGUUCCUAAUCCUCAAAAAGUCUAUCGUUUCUUUCACUCCAAAUACACCAAAGAAUACAAAGAUGAGUCAUCUUCCAUACGGCCGCAAUCUGUGAUGUCCCCGUGAUUCCUCUCUAGCUUGCUAAUAGUUCUACCACCCUUCCCGGCAUGACCCAUGCUAUACCCAUUCUGCCGAAGAAAUAAUUUCAUGUUUCCUGAGCAAACUCACAAUGUAAAAGUAGAUGAUCCGUGGAUUCACCAUUAUUUCUGCACAUACAACACCAUUCUGUUAUGAUAAGGCCUCGUCUUCUUAGGUUGUCCAUAGUAAGAAUCUUCUCUGAUGCUGCUGUCCAUACAAAGAAUGCAACCUUGGUGGGUGCUUUGCUCCUCCAAAUGUUCUUGCAAGGAAAAUUAUUGUGUCUUUGAUGCAUAGUAAUUGUGUCAUAAAAGGAGCACACAGAAAAAUCUCAUUUCCUAGAAGGUCUCCAUACCAUCUUAUCUUCAUUUAUGGCAUCAAUAACAGUGUUAUACAGCAGGCUGAGAAACUCUACCAGCCAAGUCACUUCCCAAUCAUGUGCAUCCCGAGUAAGACUUAUGUUCCACUCGUGUCAUUGAUUAUUACCCACAAAUCAGCCACCAUAGCUUCUUUAUCCCGAGCAAUUAUGAAAAUGGUAGGAUAAGCAUCCUUUAAGACGGUGUCUCCCAUCCACACAUCAUGCCAAAAGUUGACCCUACUGCCAUCCCCCACACAUAGUCUAGUAUUCCUAGCAAAGAAACACCAACCUUUUCUUAUGUACUUCCAUAAGCCCACCCCAUAUGCCCCCUUCCCUUCCCUAGAACACCAACCCCCCCAUGUACUUCCAUACUUCAUGUUGAUCACCCCUCUUUAUAAAGCUCCACUCUCCUUAUUAUAAUGCCACAACCAUUUUCCUAGUAAUACCUCGUUAAAUGCCCUCACAUUACGGAUCCCCAAGCCUCCAUUUUUCAAAGGAGUACACCUUAUUCCACUCCACUAGGUGAAAUUUGAGCUCCUCACCUAAACCGCUUCACAAAAAGUCACAUUGAAGUUUUUCUAUUCUCGUUGCAAUGUUGGCGGGAAGAGGGAAUAGAGACAAGUAGUAUGUAGGAAGGUUGGAUAAAGUGCUCUUAAUAAGAGUGAUCCGCUUCCCUUUAGUUAAAUACAACAUUUUCCACCCGGCCAAUCUAUUAUCUAAUUUCUCCACCACCUCCUCCCAAAUGCACCUCACCAUUAAUGCAUAGUAUUCUGUAGUUAGUGCUUUGAACUUGUUACUGUUAUUUUUUAUUUAAAUACAACUACUAUUAUUCGUAUUAUUUGUUAUUUCAGUUUAUAGGACAAAUCCGAGAACAUGCCACUUAUAAUGGUAUAUUAUGUUAUAUCAUUAUCUAUUUUCAGUUUUGGUU
Carya illinoinensis is the source of this 2867-nucleotide long non-coding RNA. RefSeq lists it as uncharacterized. The transcript is spliced from 3 exons. NCBI's taxonomy places the organism in Eukaryota, Viridiplantae, Streptophyta, Magnoliopsida, Fagales, Juglandaceae. The record is from RefSeq and is a predicted model, not a curated record.